RNAcentral lists this ribosomal RNA (990 nucleotides) under Enterobacter sp. RNAcentral describes it as "bacterial SSU rRNA". It matches the Rfam family "Bacterial small subunit ribosomal RNA", at positions 52 to 1046 of the family's 1533-position model. The record is from RNAcentral. Lineage: Bacteria; Pseudomonadati; Pseudomonadota; Gammaproteobacteria; Enterobacterales; Enterobacteriaceae.
CACAUGCAAGUCGAACGGUAACAGGAAGCAGCUUGCUGCUUUGCUGACGAGUGGCGGACGGGUGAGUAAUGUCGGAAACUGCCUGAUGGAGGGGGAUAACUACUGGAAACGGUAGCUAAUACCGCAUAACGUCGCAAGACCAAAGGGGGGACCUUCGGGCCUCUUGCCAUCGGAUGUGCCCAGAUGGGAUUAGCUAGUAGGUGGGGUAACGGCUCACCUGGCGACGAUCCCUAGCUGGUCUGAGAGGAUGACCAGCCACACUGGAACUGAGACACGGUCCAGACUCCUACGGAGGCACAGUGGGGAAUAUUGCACAAUGGGCGCAAGCCUGAUGCAGCCAUGCCGCGUGUAUGAAGAAGGCCUUGGGUUGUAAAGUACUUUCAGCGGGGAGGAAGGUGUUGAGGUUAAUAACCUCAGCAAUUGACGUUACCCGCAGAAAAGCACCGGCUAACUCCGUGCCAGCAGCCGCGGUAAUACGGAGGGUGCAAGCGUUAAUCGGAAUUACUGGGCGAAAGCGCACGCAGGCGGUCUGUCAAGUCGGAUGUGAAAUCCCCGGGCUCAACCUGGGAACUGCAUUCGAAACUGCAGGCUAGAGUCUUGUAGAGGGGGGUAGAAUUCCAGGUGUAGCGGUGAAAUGCGUAGAGAUCUGGAGGAAUACGGUGGCGAAGGCGGCCCCCUGGACAAAGACUGACGCUCAGGUGCGAAAGCGUGGGGAGCAAACAGGAUUAGAACCCUGGUAGUCCACGCCGUAAACGAUGUCGACUUGGAGGUUGUGCCCUUGAGGCGUGGCUUCCGGAGCUAACGGUUAAGUCGACCGCCUGGGGAGUACGGCCGCAAGGUUAAAACUCAAAUGAAUUGACGGGGGCCCGCACAAGCGUGGAGCAUGUGGUUUAAUUCGAUGCAACGCGAAGAACCUUACCUACUCUUGACAUCCAGAGAACUUAGCAGAGAUCUUUGGUGCCUUCGGGAACUUCCUGAAAACAGGGCCUU